GCGAUAGUAGCUCAGUGGUAGAACCCCCGCUUCGCAUGCGGGGAGACCUGGGUUCGAUUCCCGGCUGCUUCC
This is a transfer RNA of Toxocara canis (dog roundworm), 72 nucleotides long. It matches the Rfam family "tRNA". From Rfam's summary of the family: Transfer RNA (tRNA) molecules are approximately 80 nucleotides in length. Their secondary structure includes four short double-helical elements and three loops (D, anti-codon, and T loops). The record is from Rfam. NCBI's taxonomy places the organism in Eukaryota, Metazoa, Nematoda, Chromadorea, Rhabditida, Toxocaridae.